This 467-nucleotide ribosomal RNA is filed under the name uncultured bacterium. Its description in RNAcentral is "partial 16S ribosomal RNA". It matches the Rfam family "Bacterial small subunit ribosomal RNA", at positions 38 to 507 of the family's 1533-position model. The record is from RNAcentral.
GGGGGGGGGGGGGGGGGGGGGGGGGAGGGGGGGGUGGUAGGGGAAGGGUCCGGCUGGCUGGGGGGCUCGAGUGGCUAACGGGUGAGUAACACGGGGGUGAUCUGCCCUUGACGCUGGGGUAAGCCUGGGAAACUGGGGCCAAUAAUGGAUAUGACCUUGCUCCUUAUGGUGUUUGGUGGAACGUUUUUCGGUGUUGGAGGAGCCCGCGGCCUAUCAGCUUGUUGGUGGGGUGAUGGGCUACCAAGGCGACGACGGGUAGCCGGUCUGAGAGGGUGAUCGGCCACAUUGGGAAUGAGAUACGGCCCAGACUCCUACGGGAGGCAGCAGUGGGGAAUAUUGCACAAUGGGCGGAAGCCUGAUGCAGCGACGCCGCGUGAGGGAUGACGGCCUUCGGGUUGUAAACCUCUUUCAGCAGGGACGAAGCGUAAGUGACGGUACCUGCAGAAGAAGCACCGGCUAACUAUGUG